This 468-nucleotide ribosomal RNA is filed under the name uncultured bacterium. Its description in RNAcentral is "partial 16S ribosomal RNA". It matches the Rfam family "Bacterial small subunit ribosomal RNA", at positions 28 to 507 of the family's 1533-position model. The record is from RNAcentral.
GACGAACGCUGGCGGCCUGCUUAACACAUGCAAGUCGAACGGAAAGGCCCUGCUUUUGUGGGGUGCUCGAGUGGCGAACGGGUGAGUAACACGUGAGUAACCUGCCCUUGACUUUGGGAUAACUUCAGGAAACUGGGGCUAAUACCGGAUAGGAGCUCCUGCUGCAUGGUGGGGGUUGGAAAGUUUCGGCGGUUGGGGAUGGACUCGCGGCUUAUCAGCUUGUUGGUGGGGUAGUGGCUUACCAAGGCUUUGACGGGUAGCCGGCCUGAGAGGGUGACCGGCCACAUUGGGACUGAGAUACGGCCCAGACUCCUACGGGAGGCAGCAGUGGGGAAUAUUGCACAAUGGGCGGAAGCCUGAUGCAGCAACGCCGCGUGCGGGAUGACGGCCUUCGGGUUGUAAACCGCUUUCGCCUGUGACGAAGCGUGAGUGACGGUAAUGGGUAAAGAAGCACCGGCUAACUACGUG